This 1739-nucleotide ribosomal RNA is filed under the name Pratylenchus brachyurus. Its description in RNAcentral is "SSU rRNA". It matches the Rfam family "Eukaryotic small subunit ribosomal RNA". Lineage: Eukaryota; Metazoa; Nematoda; Chromadorea; Rhabditida; Pratylenchidae. The record is from RNAcentral.
CUCAAAGAUUAAGCCAUGCAUGUAUAUGUAUAAACGCAUCAAGCGUGAAACCGCGAACGGCUCAUUACAACAGCUAUAAUUUACUUGAUCUUGACCACCCUACUUGGAUAACUGUGGUAAUUCUAGAGCUAAUACAUGCACCGAAGCUUCGACCGUAAGGAAGGAGCGCAUUUAUUAGAACAAAACCAUACAGCUUCGGCUGUCCAAUGUUGACUCAGAAUAACUAAGCUGAUCGCAUGGUCUUGCACCGGCGACGUGUCUUUCAAGUAUCUGCUUUAUCAACUUUCGAUGGUAGUGUCUCUGACUACCAUGGUGAUGACGGAUAACGGAGGAUCAGGGUUCGACUCCGGAGAAGGGGCCUGAGAAAUGGCCACUACGUCUAAGGAUGGCAGCAGGCGCGCAAAUUACCCACUCUCAGCAUGUGGAGGAGGUAGUGACGAGAAAUAACACGACUGUUCUCUUCAGAGGCCAGUCAUUGGAAUGGGUACAAUCUAAACCCUUUAACGAGUAUCUAUGAGAGGGCAAGUCUGGUGCCAGCAGCCGCGGUAAUUCCAGCUCUCAAAAUGCAUAGAAUUAUUGCUGCGGUUAAAAAGCUCGUAGUUGGAUCUCUGUUCGCGUGCCGGUCCAUCCUCGCGGAUGUGCACUGGUGGCGUGGACACAUCUGCAGUGCUCGGCGCGUUGUCCCUCACGGUGAUGGCGCUGUCCGAUGCUGCGAGUUUACUUUGAACAAAUCAGAGUGCUCUAAACAGGCGUUUCGCUUGAAUGAUUGUGCAUGGAAUAAUAGAAGAGGAUUUCGGUCCAAUUUUAUUGGUUUUAUUGGCUGAGAUAAUGGUUAACAGAGACGAACGGGGGCAUUCGUAUUGUCGUGUGAGAGGUGAAAUUCUUGGACCACAGCAAGACGGACUACAGCGAAAGCAUUUGCCAAGAACGUCUUCAUUAAUCAAGAACGAAAGUCAGAGGUUCGAAGGCGAUCAGAUACCGCCCUAGUUCUGACCGUAAACGAUGCCAACUUGCGAUCCGCCGGCGGAAUUUGUCGCCCUGGUGGGGAGCAUCCCGGAAACGAAAGUCUUCCGGUUCCGGGGGAAGUAUGGUUGCAAAGCUGAAACUUAAAGGAAUUGACGGAAGGGCACCACCAGGAGUGGAGCCUGCGGCUUAAUUUGACUCAACACGGGGAAACUCACCCGGCCCGGACACCGUAAGGAUUGACAGAUUGAUAGCUUUUUCAUGAUUCGGUGGAUGGUGGUGCAUGGCCGUUCUUAGUUCGUGGAACGAUUUGUCUGGUUUAUUCCGAUAACGAGCGAGACUCUGGCCUACUAAAUAGUUGGCGCAUUGUCACUGUGUGUACAACUUCUUAGAGGGAUUUUCGGUGUUCAGCCGCACGAAAUUGAGCAAUAACAGGUCUGUGAUGCCCUUAGAUGUCCGGGGCUGCACGCGCGCUACACUGGCAAACGCAACGUGCUUGUCCUUGCGCGAAAGCGCUUGGUAAACCAUUGAAAAUUUGCCGUGAUUGGGAUCGGAAAUUGCAAUUAUUUUCCGUGAACGAGGAAUUCCAAGUAAGUGCGAGUCAUCAACUCGCGUUGAUUACGUCUCUGCCCUUUGUACACACCGCCCGUCGCUGCCCGGGACUGAGUCAUUUCGAGAAACUUGAGGACCGUCGGCUUCGUGGUUUCGGCCGCAUGUUGAUGGAAAUCAAUUUAAUCGCAGUGACUUGAACCGGGCAAAAGUCGUAACAAGGUAGC